This is a long non-coding RNA of Daphnia pulex (common water flea), 1477 nucleotides long. RefSeq lists it as uncharacterized. NCBI's taxonomy places the organism in Eukaryota, Metazoa, Arthropoda, Branchiopoda, Diplostraca, Daphniidae. The record is from RefSeq and is a predicted model, not a curated record. The transcript has 7 exons.
AACUCGUCUUCAAUAGUUGAAAGAAACUUACGUAAAGCUCUGCAAUUUAUUCUCUUGACAAUUUGUUUUGCUUUCCAACUUUUAGUUAAAAGUGACUGAUUAACAGUUUAACACACACACCGUCGUGUUAGUUUAGAUUAACGCCGCUUGGAAUUUUCUCUUAGUGUAUUCUGCUAAUGUCAGAACUCGUGAAAUCAUCGUGGUGAAAUGAGAAUAAGUUUCGUUCGCUACUGAAUAGGGUCGCCAGCACCAACUGGCGCAUUUCUAUCGACCCAUCCAUCAUCCGGCGGAAUUAAUUUCCAACCAUACUAUGACUCCUCGACUUGUUGAAGCAUUCAUAUCUAUCCCGGGUGGAAUAUCAGAUUUAAUUUUCUCCCAUAUUCAUCAGCAAAGAAAACAGGAUCUUCAUUCGCUUCGGAUCAGCUGUCUGGAUUUUGUGUACGAAAGGCUGCACGCUUUUGAACAAUGAGAUUGGCCUGCGGACGCGUCUGUGUGCGUGAUCGAUCAAGUCGUCGCACACACGGUGAGAUUUGCUGCCUGAAAACCACACGGUAACUUUAGAAAAUGAUUACGUCAGCCGUGAAAUUAGUGCGAUUCCACCAGGCGCAGGAUCGGCUGCACAGGAGAACCAAAAACACAACUUUCAUCCCACCUAUGAAUUCGCUCACAUUAUUAUUCAUCAUUCAGUAUUUAUGGCCUUCUAUACUUUGGUCUAGGGUAUAGGCUUUUAAUCCUAAUUAUACGAGAUCUCACCCAGGAUAUCCGACUUUAAUUGCCCCAAACUUUAUCAACAACUUUUUGAAUUGACGAUAACUCUGUGUGUAGCCGCUAUAAAUAACUUAACAUCAGUCCCAUUGUUUAUUAUAUAUAGGGCAAUAAACCAGACAGAACUGCAGCAACCAAGAACAUCAUCAUCUCCUUGAGAUUUGAACAAAAUAAUGGUCUGGCACUUAAUGUGAUCCAAGCAGCUGCAACUUUUGUCCGGACUCUGCUGACGAUAUUUCACCCUACACCGGCUCCCAGCUAAUGAGGAUUUCUCCGAUCGUAAUGCAACCUCUUUUUCAACUGAUUACGAAAGAGGCUUAUCACGUUACACGUUGCACCGACCAAAUAUUUUCAUUCUCGUCUGGAUCUCUGGAAUAUCGAAUUUCAUGGAAUCAAAGGCAAUUAAUUGUCUAAUUAUACACGCACGGACGAUCACCAUAGCGACGUGAAAUGGUUUUUUGUAAAACUGUUUACAGGGUCCUUCCAAUUGCUGGGGUAUACGUGAACAAAGUUACAUUUCGGCAUGUGUUUUAAGCAUGUGCGUGACUGGUUGGCCGUCUUUUGUCGUCACCACUUGAAAAACAUGGAACCAUCCAUCCGGCUAGCUACAGGCAGCAGCAGCAGCCCCCCAACGACUGGGAGCGCUCAUUAGGAACGGAUGUUGUGACACGCGAUUAAAAGCCAUCCUGAAUAUACUGUAAACAUUUCACUA